GCAGUCGAACGGUAGAGGGGGCAACCCCUCGAGAGUGGCGAACGGCUGAGUAAUAUAUCGGAACGUGCCCAGUCGUGGGGGAUAACGUAGCGAAAGUUACGCUAAUACCGCAUACGAUCUACGGAUGAAAGCGGGGGAUCGCAAGACCUCGCGCGAUUGGAGCGGCCGAUAUCAGAUUAGGUAGUUGGUGGGGUAAAGGCUCACCAAGCCAACGAUCUGUAGCUGGUCUGAGAGGACGACCAACCACACUGGAACUGAGACACGGUCCAGACUCCUACGGGAGGCAGCAGUGGGGAAUUUUGGACAAUGGACGCAAGUCUGAUCCAGCCAUUCCGCGUGCAGGAUGAAGGCCCUCGGGUUGUAAACUGCUUUUGUACGGAACGAAAAGGUUUCUAUUAAUACUAGGAGCUCAUGACGGUACCGUAAGAAUAAGCACCGGCUAACUACGUGCCAGCAGCCGCGGUAAUACGUAGGGUGCAAGCGUUAAUCGGAAUUACUGGGCGUAAAGCGUGCGCAGGCGGUUAUGUAAGACAGAGGUGAAAUCCCCGGGCUCAACCUGGGAACUGCCUUUGUGACUGCAUAGCUAGAGUACGGUAGAGGGGGAUGGAAUUCCGCGUGUAGCAGUGAAAUGCGUAGAUAUGCGGAGGAACACCGAUGGCGAAGGCAAUCCCCUGGACCUGUACUGACGCUCAUGCACGAAAGCGUGGGGAGCAAACAGGAUUAGAUACCCUGGUAGUCCACGCCCUAAACGAUGUCAACUGGUUGUUGGGUCUUCACUGACUCAGUAACGAA
This 792-nucleotide ribosomal RNA is filed under the name uncultured Burkholderiales bacterium. RNAcentral describes it as "bacterial SSU rRNA". It matches the Rfam family "Bacterial small subunit ribosomal RNA", at positions 57 to 850 of the family's 1533-position model. The record is from RNAcentral. Lineage: Bacteria; Pseudomonadati; Pseudomonadota; Betaproteobacteria; Burkholderiales.